CCCUCAAAUUUAUCGUUUACUUUACUAUUCAUUUUCUUCUUAUCCUUCUUCCCAGCCCCAGCGGCAGCCCCUACUCCACUUGACCGCUGUCCAAUCUUGUUCCUCCGAGCAACUUUGCCGAAUCGGCUUUUGACCUCACUAAUCCAACACUCACCCUUUCCAUCCGCCCUCAGCACCCGCCACGCUUCCUCAACAAAUGACACCCAAUUCGUCCCCAUCAAGCUAAGGCAGAAAAUAACCACAUCGACCGUCCCAUCUCCAACCGGCAGCGCCGCAAUAUCCGCUUUCGUAAUCAACGGGUCGGCCACAUGG
This 312-nucleotide small RNA is filed under the name Histoplasma capsulatum var. duboisii H88. RNAcentral describes it as "Histoplasma capsulatum H88 hypothetical RNA". Lineage: Eukaryota; Fungi; Ascomycota; Eurotiomycetes; Onygenales; Ajellomycetaceae. The record is from RNAcentral.